UCGCACCUACCGAUUGAAUGGUCCGGUGAAGCCUCGCGAUUGUGAAUUCGGUCGCGAGAACUUGUCUAAACCUUAUCAUUUAGAGGAAGGUGAAGUCGUAACAAGGUU
Molecule: ribosomal RNA, 108 nt
Filed under: uncultured eukaryote
Lineage: Eukaryota
Description: partial small subunit ribosomal RNA
Rfam family: Eukaryotic small subunit ribosomal RNA
Source: RNAcentral